Triticum aestivum (bread wheat) is the source of this 135-nucleotide non-coding RNA. The record is from Rfam. Lineage: Eukaryota; Viridiplantae; Streptophyta; Magnoliopsida; Poales; Poaceae.
CAAAUACUCCCUCCAUCCGGAAAUACUUGUCAUCAAAAUGGAUAAAAGGAAAUGUAUCUAGACGUAUUUUAGUUUUAGAUACAUCUCUUUUUAUCCAUUUUGAUGACAAGUAUUUUUGGACGGAGGGAGUAGAAA